GAAUUCGCCCUUAGAGUUUGAUCCUGGCUCAGGACGAACGCUGGCGGCGCGCCUAACACAUGCAAGUCGAACGAGCGAGAGAGAGCUUGCUUUCUCGAGCGAGUGGCGAACGGGUGAGUAACGCGUGAGGAACCUGCCUCAAAGAGGGGGACAACAGUUGGAAACGACUGCUAAUACCGCAUAAGCCCACGGGUCGGCAUCGACCAGAGGGAAAAGGAGCAAUCCGCUUUGAGAUGGCCUCGCGUCCGAUUAGCUGGUUGGUGAGGUAACGGCCCACCAAGGCAACGAUCGGUAGCCGGACUGAGAGGUUGAACGGCCACAUUGGGACUGAGACACGGCCCAGACUCCUACGGGAGGCAGCUGUGGGGAAUAUUGCACAAUGGGGGAAACCCUGAUGCAGCGACGCCGCGUGGAGGAAGAAGGUCUUCGGAUUGUAAACUCCUGUUGUUGAGGAAGAUAAUGACGGUACUCAACAAGGAAGUGACGGCUAACUACGUGCCAGCAGCCGCGGUAAAACGUAGGUCACAAGCGUUGUCCGGAAUUACUGGGUGUAAAGGGAGCGCAGGCGGGAAGACAAGUUGGAAGUGAAAUCCAUGGGCUCAACCCAUGAACUGCUUUCAAAACUGUUUUUCUUGAGUAGUGCAGAGGUAGGCGGAAUUCCCGGUGUAGCGGUGGAAUGCGUAGAUAUCGGGAGGAACACCAGUGGCGAAGGCGGCCUACUGGGCACCAACUGACGCUGAGGCUCGAAAGUGUGGGUAGCAAACAGGAUUAGAUACCCUGGUAGUCCACACCGUAAACGAUGAUUACUAGGUGUUGGAGGAUUGACCCCUUCAGUGCCGCAGUUAACACAAUAAGUAAUCCACCUGGGGAGUACGACCGCAAGGUUGAAACUCAAAGGAAUUGACGGGGGCCCGCACAAGCAGUGGAGUAUGUGGUUUAAUUCGACGCAACGCGAAGAACCUUACCAAGUCUUGUCAUCCCUUGACGAUGCUGGAAACAGUAUUUCUCUUCGGAGCAAGGAGACAGGUGGUGCAUGGUUGUCGUCAGCUCGUGUCGUGAGAUGUUGGGUUAAGUCCCGCAACGAGCGCAACCCUUAUGGUCAGUUACUACGCAAGAGGACUCUGGCCAGACUGCCGUUGACAAAACGGAGGAAGGUGGGGAUGACGUCAAAUCAUCAUGCCCUUUAUGACUUGGGCUACACACGUACUACAAUGGCGUUAAACAAAGAGAAGCAAGACCGCGAGGUGGAGCAAAACUCAGAAACAACGUCCCAGUUCGGACUGCAGGCUGCAACUCGCCUGCACGAAGUCGGAAUUGCUAGUAAUCGUGGAUCAGCAUGCCACGGUGAAUACGUUCCCGGGCCUUGUACUCACCGCCCGUCA
Molecule: ribosomal RNA, 1382 nt
Filed under: uncultured bacterium
Lineage: Bacteria
Description: bacterial SSU rRNA
Rfam family: Bacterial small subunit ribosomal RNA
Source: RNAcentral